AGGAGAACAAUCAGCCCAUUGCCUCAGUCCGGCGUGAUCAUCAUAAUCAUCAUCAUACUUCGUGAAGCGCGUGAGCUGCAGUAAACAGUGGGGUGGGGCGAGUGUACGCUUGGCUCGUGCGUAACGGUGCACGAUACGCCCUGAACACCUACAUGAGGCGAACAGGGCGCGCGCAGAGGACUGAUUGAACGUACUUUUCAGGGACUCGUCACGAGAACCUCAUCCGGUUUCCGACUGUGAGAAGGGAAAAGAGUUGCAUUUCCAGUUAGUGAGUCGAGAGAUGGAGUUCUGCAACUUUUAAGGAGCUCGCCGCGCGCGAGUGUAAGAGAGAGACAGAGCGCGCGAGUGUAGAAGAGACAGAGCGCGCGCUCGCGACAGGAGACAGGUUAAGCUCGGCGAUGCCUUCUCUGCAUCAUGGCGCCGUGUUCAUUGGGGUCUUCCUCAUCGUCACAGGCGGCUCGACCGCCUUCUUGACGUCCAGCCAGAGCAGACUGCAGGCGUUCAGCCUGUGCUGCGUGGUGCUAGGUGCAGUCAUGCUCAUCCUUGGCCUCUUUUGGGCCAUGAACGGAAAGAGCCGCCAGGGCUCCUACACUAAUGAAUACACGCACGACUACGGGCACGUGCUGUUCAGCCCACCACCCGGGAGCCACUUCCCGGAGUCCCAGUCCGUCAUCUUGCACAGAACGUUGGAAAGGCAGAGACGAGGGCUGUACGGAGACGAUUUUGACUACCCUCCCAUGGAGCCAACAUGUUUCAGCCCAGCUGCUCGAGGGCCACCACCCCACUGGGAGAUGGAACCUCCACCUCCGUACGAAGUGGCCAUCAAAACGACAUGCAGCUCCACGAACAUGCGACGCAGUUACUCAGAUACACUGUUGCCCACUGAACCGCUCUUCAGUCGCUCCCGCGAGAUCAGCUUUGAAGUGUAAAGGUGCAUUCACACAUACAGAGACUCGCAGCGACAAGGCGACCGGAGAUGUUCAUUUUCAACGAGAGCUGGCGACAUGAGCAACGGCGACCUUUGGCGACCGGGUGUAGGCGUGUCCAGCAACAUGGCAAAGUUGAGAAAGGUUUAACUUUAUGCAACUUUGGAGAGACUUGGUGUAGCGACUGCCAAUGGGAGUGAAGACAGUAGAGUGCAUGUGAUCUGUAGCCACCCUUGCGUACCAGCAGAAGCAACGCCAUUGUGACAGUAGCCAAUUAGCUUAGUUUAAGAUCUUAGCGGGUUUAAAGCAAAAAAAUAAAAGAAAUAAUAAUGAAACACUCACUUUUUGUUGCAAACGAGCAAAAUCCCAGUGUAGCUCCUACCUUGGGUGAAGUAUCCGGUUUGUCGCUGCUUCGGCACCGGGAACGAGCAGCACCAAGCCGGACACUUCACCCAGGAAACACAGAGGCCACGGCCGAAGAGCUGCUGUCCGGCUCCCGGUCACCAUCGAACAUAUAGUGAAUAACACACCGAUGGUGACGCUCACUUACUGAGAAAGGAGCUACACCGGGAUUUUGCUCAAUUGCAACAAAAAGGGAGUGUGUUUCAUUAUUAUUAUUAUUAUUUUGCUUUAAAUGCGCUAAGGCUAUAAGCUAAGCUAAGCUAAUUGGAGCUUGCACUUUUGCCGCAGAGAGAUGGCAGCAAUGGCAAAGAGCACACACUGCUUCUUCUUCAUCUCGGAUGCAUAUAUACCCUGGUGAAUUUUAUAUAAGAUCGCUCUCCCUCCACAAUGUUUAAUUUUAGCAGCAACAAAACUGGUUUGUUGUCAAAAUUGGAAUGCUAGUUGCACCACCCACUGAUGCUACUACUGCAACCGGUAGUAGGAAUGCCUACCUGCGACUUCAUAGUACAGUGACUUGCAGCGAUAAAAUUGCUGUAUGUGUGAAUGCACCUUAAGGCUUGUGCUGUCAACAAGCCAUUAGGUUGCACCCAUUUGCUGCAACCACCAACUAGUGCGGAUCAUGGCUUGCCCAGGGAACCCACACUCCAAGUGUGCUUUAUAAACCAUUAGUAUUGAAGCUACUUAAUUUUCAUCUCUGAUCACAAUGAGUUCCAUUUUGAAUAUGGUCAAAAGGGAAAUUCUGUAACCUUAUAAAAUGGUAACGUCCCUAGGACUGUUUAGUGUCUGCUGUUCCCUGCUGUGAAGUGUGUUCUUUUGUAAUUAUAUUCAGAAGGUAUAGUUACCACUGAUGGAAAAACGCCUGAUCUCGCUCAGUAUUUUCACGACAGCCACUGUCCUUUCUCCAUGCAGCUACUGCAUUUUCUCUCCAUACAUGUCACUGACAUUACACAAAUUACCAACUAUAUACUACAAAAAUGUUCUUCUACCCAGUUACGUAUUCCUCACAAGCAUGAAUCACAAUCACUUCUUGACUGGUUUGGCGUGCAGAUGAGAUUUGGUGACAGUACUGUCUGCUUGUGAAUAUCACAAAAAUCGCAGCUCCUGGACCCAUAAAUAUGUACAUAAAGUCACUUGCACAAUCCGAGCUCAUCGAUGCAAGCACCAGCGUAUGAGAAGAAAACAGAGAAAAGUUCCGGAUAGAUAUGCAAAGCUACUAUUUUCUCCUGCGCACAGUGUUUUGAGAGGGAAAAAUCGGUGUCGGCGUCUUCCACAGUAAGCCAGACACGGAUGCAGACGGAGUUAUAGGAAGUGACACCAGAUUAAAACUAUUUCUCGACCAAAAGCACAUCGACUGUGGCAAUAGUGAAAUUUAACUGCUGAAAUAUUUUAAUCAAUGUACUCCUGCUUGUUGCAUUGGACUGACUGCUAACAUGAGUGGCAAGACCCAUAACGAUGUCAUCAGGGCGCUUACAAAGAACUGACAGGAUGUGUCUUACAGGAAACACUUAAAUGCAACAGCAACCCAGAGCAUUAUUGGUUCAUCACUGGUGACCUUUGUGUCCCGUAGAGGAAACUGACAGUCUAAGAAGCAUUGAUUUGUGAUGUAAUGCAAGUGUAGAGUGCCUCUCUGAUGUGAUCGCAAAUGACCACAUUGCAUUAGCAGGUUUAAUAUUUCCUUGGACUCCUCUUGUUUGUAACAUUAUAAAUCAUGGCAUUUUCAUUGAUUGCUUUCUCUGCCUCAACCAAAGUGACAUUAAAAUUAUGUGCCUCCAUUAAAUACAGUUCAGGGCCUUUAACUAUAGGUACUUUGCACUAUACGUUAUAGAAUAUGCACGAUGUACGUGGCUUACGUGCAUGUACCCAAAGAUUCUAUUACAUUUUUGGAACAAAAUGUAUAGUGUUUUCAUUUGUUUUUGAAAAUUAACAAAUAAAGAUAUUUAAAA
Molecule: long non-coding RNA, 3271 nt
Organism: Ictalurus punctatus (channel catfish)
Lineage: Eukaryota; Metazoa; Chordata; Actinopteri; Siluriformes; Ictaluridae
Source: Ensembl